UACAGAGGUCCCGAGCGUUGUUCGGAUUCACUGGGCGUAAAGGGUGCGUAGGUGGUGAGGUAAGUCGGAUGUGAAAUCUCCGGGCUCAACCCGGAAAUGGCAUUGGAAACUACCUUGCUAGAGGAUUUGAGGGGGGAUUGGAAUACUUGGUGUAGCAGUGAAAUGCGCAGAUAUCAGGAGGAACACCGGUGGCGAAGGCGGGUCUCUGGGCCGUAACUGACGCUGAGGAGCGAAAGCGUGGGGAGCGAACAGG
RNAcentral lists this ribosomal RNA (253 nucleotides) under uncultured bacterium. RNAcentral's name for it is "partial 16S ribosomal RNA". It matches the Rfam family "Bacterial small subunit ribosomal RNA", at positions 524 to 776 of the family's 1533-position model. The record is from RNAcentral.